GAUUACCCGCUGAACUUAAGCAUAUCACUAAGCGGAGGAAAAGAGACUAACCAGGAUUCCCCUAGUAACGGCGAGUGAAGAGGGAAUAGCCCAGCACCGAAGCCUGCGGUAGGUUUACUGCUAGGCAAUGUGGUGUUUGGGUCGACUCGCGGGAUUGCCACUCCACUCGAAGUCCAGCACUGAGUAUGGUUCCCUGGAUUUGGCCCAGAGAGGGUGAAAGGCCCGUGCGAGUGGAGGUUCAGACAUGUGAGGCAAUUCACCAGGUCGACCUUCGAGUCGGGGUGUUUGGGAAUGCAGC
Molecule: ribosomal RNA, 298 nt
Filed under: Spirometra erinaceieuropaei
Lineage: Eukaryota; Metazoa; Platyhelminthes; Cestoda; Diphyllobothriidea; Diphyllobothriidae
Description: partial 28S ribosomal RNA
Rfam family: Eukaryotic large subunit ribosomal RNA
Source: RNAcentral